AUGACGAUAUUUGUUGGUAAUACUGUUUCAGAGGGUUGCAACGAACUUGCAACUAUGAAAAAUGUUACAGUUGCUACUGCUGGAGCUGCAACAACAAUAUCUACAAAUUCAUUGUGGGUUGUUAAGAUAAGACUCCAAACACAAGGAAUGAGGCCUAACUUUGUUCCUUACGAGAGUUUUCUUUCCGCUUUGACGAGGAUUACACACGAGAAAGGUCUACGAGGACUGUAUAGUGGCAUUGUGUCGUCAUUAGUUGGCAUAAGUCAUGUAGCUAUUCAAUUUUCAGCAUAG
Vicia faba (fava bean) is the source of this 291-nucleotide non-coding RNA. The record is from the annotation of a GenBank genome assembly. Lineage: Eukaryota; Viridiplantae; Streptophyta; Magnoliopsida; Fabales; Fabaceae.